This 1475-nucleotide long non-coding RNA is filed under the name Homo sapiens (human). RNAcentral's name for it is "non-protein coding lnc-CHRM5-4:1". Lineage: Eukaryota; Metazoa; Chordata; Mammalia; Primates; Hominidae. The record is from RNAcentral.
AUUCAACAUCCUUUCAUGUUAAAAGCUCUCAAUAAACUAGGUAUUGAAGGAACAUACCUCAAAAUAAUAAGAGCCACAUAUGACAAACCCACAGCCAACAUCAUACUGAAGGGCAAAAGCUCAAGCAUAUCCCUUGGAAACCAGCACAAGACAUGGAUGCCCUCUCUCACCACUCCUAUUCAGCGUAGUAUUGGAAGUUCUGGCCGGGACAAUCAGGCAAGAGAAAGAAAUAAAGGGCAUUCACAUAGGAAGAAAGGAAGUUAAACUAUCCCUGUUUGCCUGCAAUUCUUUCAAAGAUGCAAAUUUGAUUAUAUCAUUUCCUACAUAACUUGCUCUAAUGGCACCCUAUUCUCUGAAAAUGAAGCCCAAACUCCUCCUUGGCAAGAGUACCCAAGACCCAGUCUAAUACCUACUUCUUCCUCAGCCUCACUUCUAACCUCCCCAUGCUUACUCCCCUCCCUCGUUUUGGUUCACAGACUAUGGUUUUUCCAUGGUGGAUAGGGGGAGAGUGUUGAUUUAAAAAAAAUGCCAGACAAAUCAGCCCCAUUGCAGCUUUAGUCAAGUUAGAUUCAGUGGUUUGCUUCAACCUCACUGUAAGUUCCUUAACUCAUCCUCCCAUCUGAAUUCAGCAAGCAUCAACCUUAAUGCCCCACUUUCUUCCUCAGUUAAAUAGUAGAGACUUUUCUCUCUCUGAUUCCUCCCUAACCGUUACUUUAGAAAAGUGACUCUUAAACUGUUGGAGGUCAUGAACCCCUAGAGGCCCUCUACUUAGAAAAAUAGAAUUGAAGUAUUCUUAUAGGACCCAGGACAAGAACAGUUCUAUAGAGAGCAAAGAAGAGGCUCAGAUUAUAAGAAAAUUAUUAUUGUAAGCCUCAGUUCACUUCCCUUGUAUCCCCCCAUUUCCCUCUCCACACACAAAUUGCAAAAAUCAAUUUCUGACCUUUUCUCCCCUAACUCUGCCCCCUGCAAUGCUUGUGCCUAGGAACUGCUGAUUUCCUAGUAUUAGGAGGAGGCUCCAGGAGCCUCAGCCUUCAGGCCAUGACUGUGGCAGAGAUGAGAGCUGGGCUGGGUGGGGAGGGUGUCCUCCUCAGGAGCUGGACAUCCUUCCUGAGCUUUGGGAUUACUUUUUCCCCUUCCCUUAGAUGUUUUCAUGCCCAGUGACAAGCAUAGUCCUUGGAAAGAUUAUCUUCUUUAGCCACUUGCCCCCUGACCUAAAAGGUUAGCCUCUGUGAACACUAUGCUGUGUCUCCCAGAUGCCACCCCCCUCUGGCAUUUAUUCUCCACCCUUGGCCUUACAGAGAACCCAGUGAGCAUGUUUUUAAAUCUCUAAUUUCCCUAGCCAGGAGCAGAUCUGUUUCUUCCUACGGGACAAGGCCCAAGUAAUGAUGAGAAUCAUAGUUUGGUUAUCACUGGACACAACUUACUUCUGUAGUUCACAGAAUGCCUUGCCAUGUGCAUGUCCACGAGGGAAAAAG